This 67-nucleotide transfer RNA is filed under the name Marmota monax (woodchuck). RNAcentral's name for it is "tRNA.Val". The record is from RNAcentral. Lineage: Eukaryota; Metazoa; Chordata; Mammalia; Rodentia; Sciuridae.
GGUUGCGGCUCUGUGGUAGAGUGCUGGCCUCACAUGUGUGAGGCACUGGGUUCGACUCUCAGGACCA